This 468-nucleotide ribosomal RNA is filed under the name uncultured bacterium. Its description in RNAcentral is "partial 16S ribosomal RNA". It matches the Rfam family "Bacterial small subunit ribosomal RNA", at positions 28 to 507 of the family's 1533-position model. The record is from RNAcentral.
GACGAACGCUGGCGGCGUGCUUAACACAUGCAAGUCGAACGGAAAGGCCCUGCUUUUGUGGGGUGCUCGAGUGGCGAACGGGUGAGUAACACGUGAGUAACCUGCCCUUGACUUUGGGAUAACUUCAGGAAACUGGGGCUAAUACCGGAUAGGAGUUCCUGCUGCAUGGUGGGGGUUGGAAAGUUUCGGCGGUUGGGGAUGGACUCGCGGCUUAUCAGCUUGUUGGUGGGGUAGUGGCUUACCAAGGCUUUGACGGGUAGCCGGCCUGAGAGGGUGACCGGCCACAUUGGGACUGAGAUACGACCCAGACUCCUACUGGAGGCAGCAGUGCAGAAUAUUUCACAAUGGGCGGAAGCCUGAUGCAGCAACGCCGCGUGCGGGAUGACGGCCUUCGGGUUGUAAACCGCUUUCGCCUGUGACGAAGCGUGAGUGACGGUAAUGGGUAAAGAAGCACCGGCUAACUACGUG